CCUACGGGAGGCAGCAGUGGGGAAUAUUGCACAAUGGAGGAAACCCUGAUGCAGCGACGCCGCGUGAGUGAAGAAGUAUUUCGGUAUGUAAAGCUCUAUCAGCAGGGAAGAAAAUGACUGUACCUGUUUAAGAAGCCCCUGUGAACUACGUGCCAGCAGCCUCGGUAAUACGUCGGGGGCAAGCGUUAUCCGGAUUUACUGGGUGUAAAGGGAGCGUCGACGGCAGCACAAGUCUGGAGUGAAAUGCCGGGGCUUAACCCAGGAACUGCAUUGGAAACUGGGCAGCUAGAGUGCAUGAGAGGGAAGUGGAAGUCCGAGUGUAGCGGUGAAAUGCGUAGAGAUUAGGAGGAAAACCAGUGGCGAAGGCGGCUUAUUGGACUGUAACUGACGUUGAGGCUCGAAAGCGUGGGGAGCAAACAGGAUUAGAUACCCGUGUAGUC
This 440-nucleotide ribosomal RNA is filed under the name uncultured bacterium. RNAcentral describes it as "partial 16S ribosomal RNA". It matches the Rfam family "Bacterial small subunit ribosomal RNA", at positions 338 to 795 of the family's 1533-position model. The record is from RNAcentral.